Molecule: unclassified non-coding RNA, 253 nt
Filed under: Hevea brasiliensis (rubber tree)
Lineage: Eukaryota; Viridiplantae; Streptophyta; Magnoliopsida; Malpighiales; Euphorbiaceae
Source: RNAcentral
AGCAAACUUGCUGCAACACUUAAUGCCACUCCAGUGCACCGAGAUGCCCGAUUACCAGGAGAAACAGGCCAUUGAUCCGUUUGAAGUUCAUCCAACAACGAAUUGAGGGUAUAUUCGCAUUCAGAAGCAGGCAAUAAAAAACGUGUAACACCUGAAUUAGGGAAUCCAUUCUGGACCCCCUUUUGAUACGCUCCAGCAACUCUCCGUGCUCCAACCGAAAGACCCAAUUGUUCCAAAACCUGAUCCUUAGAAA